AAGCGUGCCGCCGAAGCCGCGGACUCCUCCGUGAGGAGGGGUGGUAGGGGAGCGUCCUGCGUUGGGUGAAGCCCGGGAGUGAUCCUAGGGUGGACGGCGUGGGAGUGAGAAUGCAGGCAUGAGUAGCGAUGACUAGGGUGAGAGUCCCUAGCGCCGAAUGACCAAGGGUUCCAGGGCCAGGUGGAUCCGCCCUGGGUGAGUCGGGACCUAAGACGAGGCCGACAGGCGUAGUCGAUGGAUGACGGGUUGAUAUUCCCGUACCGGCGUAGGACCGCCCAUGCUGACGCGCGGGUGCUAACUCACGCCCGUGGUCGUUGAUUCGCUGGUGGCCGGUACCUUCGGGUCCGGGUGCUGGUGUCGACCAGGGUCUGGGGAUCCUCCGUGCAGGUAGGCAAGCGUAGUAACAGGGGUGACGCACAGUGGUAGCCUCGCGGGCCUAAUGGCUUGGCCCGUUCAAGCGCGCAGCCUCUCGCUCAGGUAAAUCCGGGCGAUCGCGUUAAUGACAUGGUUGUUGACGCGGGGGUGAGGCGUGAUGGUGACCCCGUUGUGAGCGGGGGAGAGCAGGGUGAUCCUGGGGUGCCGAGAAAAGCCUCGACGCGAUGGUGCUGGGCCGCCCGUACCCGAAACCGACACAGGUGGUCGGGCAGAGCAUGCCUAGGCGAACGAGUGAAUCAUGGUUAAGGAACUCGGCAAAAUGCCCCCGUAACUUCGGGAGAAGGGGGGCCUGAGCUUUGAAGCCCCUUCGCGGGCUAGGAGCAAGGGUCGCAGAGAACAGGGGGGAGCGACUGUUUACUAAAAACACAGGUCCGUGCGAAGCCGUAAGGCGAUGUAUACGGACUGACGCCUGCCCGGUGCUGGAAGGUUAAGAGGAACCAUCAACCCUCGGGUGAAGUGGUGAAUUUAAGCCCCAGUAAACGGCGGUGGUAACUAUAACCAUCCUAAGGUAGCGAAAUUCCUUGUCGGGUAAGUUCCGACCUGCACGAAUGGAGUAACGACUUGGGUACUGUCUCCACCACGAACUCGGUGAAAUUGCAUUACGAGUAAAGAUGCUCGUUACGCGCAGCAGGACGGAAAGACCCCGGGACCUUUACUACAGUUUGGUAUUGGUGAUCGGUGCGACUUGUGUAGGAUAGGUGGGAGACUGUGAAGCGGCCACGCCAGUGGCCGUGGAGUCGUCGUUGAAAUACCACUCUGGUCGUUCUGGUUAUCUAACCUCGGACCGUGACCCGGUCCAGGGACAGUGCCUGAUGGGUAGUUUGACUGGGGCGGUCGCCUCCCAAAGAGUAACGGAGGCGCCCAAAGGUCCCCUCAGCCUGGUCGGCAACCAGGUGUCGAGUGCAAGUGCACAAGGGGGCUUGACUGUGAGACGGACACGUCGAGCAGGGACGAAAGUCGGGACUAGUGAUCUUCUGGUGGCGUGUGGAAGCGCCAGAACUCAACGGAUAAAAGGUACCCCGGGGAUAACAGGCUGAUCUUGCCCGAGCGCUCACAGCGACGGCAUGGUUUGGCACCUCGAUGUCGGCUCGUCGCAUCCUGGGGCUGGAGUCGGUCCCAAGGGUUGGGCUGUUCGCCCAUUAAAGCGGCACGCGAGCUGGGUUAAGAACGUCGUGAGACAGUUCGGUCCCUAUCCGCUGCGCGCGUAGGAAUCUUGAGAAGGGCUGUCCUCAGUACGAGAGGACCGGGACGGACCAACCUCUGGUGUGCCAGUUGUUCCUCCAGGAGCAUGGCUGGUUGGCUACGUUGGGAAGUGAUAACCGCUGAAAGCAUCUAAGUGGGAAGCACGCUUCAAGAUGAGGAUUCCCCAGCCUCGUGCUGGUAAGGCCCCCGGCAGACCACCGGGUUGAUGGGUCGGACGUGGAAGCGCCGCGAGGCGUGGAGCUGACCGAUCCCAAACGGCCGAGAGGCUUGCCA
RNAcentral lists this ribosomal RNA (1911 nucleotides) under human oral metagenome. RNAcentral's name for it is "bacterial LSU rRNA". It matches the Rfam family "Bacterial large subunit ribosomal RNA", at positions 1184 to 2925 of the family's 2925-position model. The record is from RNAcentral.